AUUCCAGCUCCAAUAGCGUAUAUUAAAGUUGUUGCGGUUAAAAAGCUCGUAGUUGGAUCUCGGCGGGCAGGGGGUGGUUCGCUCUUCAGCGCUACUGCCCCGCUUUGCCCGUGUGAUUGGCGGAGGUUUCGGGGUGCUCUUCGUUGAGUGACUCGGAGCGCCGUCAGGUUUACUUUGAAAAAAUUAGAGUGCUCAAAGCAGGCUUUUCACGCUUGAAUAUUCGUGCAUGGAAUAAUGGAAUAGGAACUCGUUUCUAUUUUGUUGGUUUUCGGAAAUCGAGUUAAUGAUUAACAGGGACAGUCAGGGGCACUCGUAUUCCGCCGAGAGAGGUGAAAUUCUUAGACCAGCGGAAGACGAACCACUGCGAAAGCAUUUGCCAGGGAUGUUUUCAUCA
RNAcentral lists this ribosomal RNA (394 nucleotides) under Oithona sp. RNAcentral's name for it is "partial small subunit ribosomal RNA". It matches the Rfam family "Eukaryotic small subunit ribosomal RNA", at positions 582 to 975 of the family's 1831-position model. The record is from RNAcentral. Lineage: Eukaryota; Metazoa; Arthropoda; Copepoda; Cyclopoida; Oithonidae.